Molecule: ribosomal RNA, 387 nt
Filed under: Babesia sp. F2
Lineage: Eukaryota; Apicomplexa; Aconoidasida; Piroplasmida; Babesiidae
Description: SSU rRNA
Rfam family: Eukaryotic small subunit ribosomal RNA
Source: RNAcentral
ACGGGUAACGGGGAAUUAGGGUUCGAUUCCGGAGAGGGAGCCUGAGAAACGGCUACCACAUCCAAGGGAAGGCAGCAGGCGCGCAAAUUACCCAAUCCUGACACAGGGCAGGUAGUGACAAGAAAUAACAAUACAGGGCAAUUGUCUUGUAAUUGGAAUGAUGGUGACCUAAACCCUCACCAGAGUAACAAUUGGAGGGCAAGUCUGGUGCCAGCAGCCGCGGUAAUUCCAGCUCCAAUAGCGUAUAUUAAACUUGUUGCAGUUAAAAAGCUCGUAGUUGAAUUUUUGCGUGGUGUUAANAUUGACUGAUGUCGAGAUUGCACUUCGCUUUUGGGAUUUUUCCCUUUUUACUUUGAGAAAAUUAGAGUGUUUCAAGCAGACUUUUGU